Non-coding RNA from Theobroma cacao (cacao), 1288 nucleotides. The record is from RefSeq and is a predicted model, not a curated record. Lineage: Eukaryota; Viridiplantae; Streptophyta; Magnoliopsida; Malvales; Malvaceae.
GAAGAAUGUCUGUCGAGACUUCGCAGCGGUUGUCACGGGCUCAAUGGGAGUUCCGGGUCGUGACAAUAAAUAUAAUUCCAUCAUAAGACCAUAAGCAUUCAACCAUUGUUUAUAGCUCAGCAUAAAACAUUCUCUCAUAAACCAUACCAUAAAAUAAACCAAAAUAGAAAUAGUAAAAGCAUAACUGAGUUUGUCUUUCCUAUCUUUCCUACCGACUUUGCUUCUUGCUCCUAUUUACCUACCUUUUUACUUUUCUCCCCUUUUUUGUCAUCAUGUAAAAGAAGGUGUUUAUCUGAGUCUAAAGAGGGUGAAGAUUCAUCAAUGCCAAAAUGCACUUUAAGGGGUUUAAGAGAGAAGCUAGAUGAAAAGUCAAAUGAUGAAGAUGAAGAAAAAGAGAUGGAUGAGAUGGUUUGGGGGCCUGUAAGCUUAAAAGACUAUUGAGUGGAGGUCAAAGCUAGUCCAAAGGAUUUUCUUCUUCUGAAGACCUUGGUUUUAGUGGCCAUUGUUUUUCUCCGCCUUCCUUCAAUUUUCUUUGCAACAGGAGCAGUAGCAACUACUUUACCCUUGUCCUGAUUUUCUUCCCCUACAGCUUGUGUUGUCCCUUGUGGAGUUUAGUGAACUUUCUGUUGCAUCUUUGCUUGUUGUUGUGCCUGGUCAGCCUUAACUUCUUUGAGAAUGUUUCUAAUAAAGUUAGAGACUAAGAUCUUUUCAGAUUUUCCAGGAGAACUUGCACCACUUUUUCUAGCAGUUAUGUGUUCUUUUUCACCUUGAGGUUCCUUCUCCACUUCUUUUUCCUGUUCAGGUUCUUUUUAGCUACUUCAUCUUGCUUUUCUUUCCAAUUUCUUGGCCUUGUUUUACUUCAAGGGUUAUUGUAGCAGUUUGCUCUUUUAUAAUUUCUUCUUCAUGUUCAGAUAUGUGUGGAUCAAACUGCUCAAUAGCAGUUUUUUCACUACACAUGCUUGUAGCAGUGGGUGGAGAUUCAAGAAGCUUGUUCAGUUAACUUCCUAUCAAUCCUCAUGAAGAGAUUAAACAUCAUUUCAGCUUAAGGAGGAGGUUGGUUGACUUCGGUGUAUGGUGUUGAAGGACUUUCGGUUGUAAGGGGAAGUGGUAUACUUCUUGUAGUUUUGAUGCAUUCAUUCCUCUGUAGUUUGUAACCUAUCUUUAGAGCACUUACCAAAAAUAUCCCUUGAUCCUUGUUUCUUGUUAGAUCAGCUUGGAACCUUAUGCUCUAAAUUCCUUUCUUUUUCACCAGAUUGUAAUAAUGUUGCCAUAUGGCAAGUUGGUUUUA